CCGGCACCUACUAAACCCCUUCUCCUCCAUGGCGGACCUCCCCUGAGAUGUCGUUCGUCUCUCCCUACCCACCUCUGACGGCCGUUCUGCCGGCGCCCCCACCAGAUAUGUCGCCGCUGCCUUCAUGGCUGCCGACAGACCCCACUAUGGCUCUCUCUAGUACCUCCUCUCUGGGCGCGUGCACGGCGGCCGCCCUCGUCCCCGACCCGGUCGCCGCCUCUCCUGCUCGUGCCCUAGACGCAGGCGUCCUCCAUGCCCACGGCGCGUGUCCUGCUUGGCUGCUUCCCCGGACAACUCCCCAGAGCCAGGCUCCCAGCCGGACUGCGUCGCUCCCUGCGUCGUCGUCCCUGAGGAGUCCACCGAGC
RNAcentral lists this unclassified non-coding RNA (365 nucleotides) under Zea mays. RNAcentral describes it as "misc RNA Zm00001eb341160". The record is from RNAcentral. Lineage: Eukaryota; Viridiplantae; Streptophyta; Magnoliopsida; Poales; Poaceae.